GGUCGCGUAGCUCAGGGGAUAGAGCAACUGCCUUCUAAGCAGUCGGUCGCACGUUCGAUUCGUGCCGCGAUCA
Molecule: transfer RNA, 73 nt
Filed under: Bacteroidota bacterium
Lineage: Bacteria; Pseudomonadati; Bacteroidota
Also listed under: 1 other name
Description: Bacteroidetes bacterium (activated sludge metagenome) tRNA-Arg
Rfam family: tRNA
About the family: Transfer RNA (tRNA) molecules are approximately 80 nucleotides in length.
Source: RNAcentral